Molecule: long non-coding RNA, 2621 nt
Organism: Oncorhynchus gorbuscha (pink salmon)
Lineage: Eukaryota; Metazoa; Chordata; Actinopteri; Salmoniformes; Salmonidae
Exons: 3
Source: RefSeq, a predicted model, not a curated record
CUCUACAAGCGAAUUGCCCUUAAAUUGAUUUGUGCGAACCGGAAAAAUGAUUUACGAGCACAGUGUGCGAGUAAAGACUACAAUCUACCGUAAUCUAUUUUUUUUUUACCCCACAAGCGCCAACCACAGUAGUGUUUUCAGUGCUGACGCAGUCCAGUCAGAGUGAGAGAAAGGUGAACAACACUGGGGGAAAAGUAUUGGUAUAGGCUGUAAAUUAACGUGCAGACUUCGCUAAAAAUGAAGCCCAUUACAGUUUAUUUUAAGCGAAUAAGAGACGAGGAGAAAUAGUAAUCAGGCGAGGCGGAUUCGCAAGGUUCAACUAAUGAAGCCUCUUCACAAGGUUUACAUGAGGCGGUUAGCGAAGCUACGGUGACUCCGGCUGUCACUUCAACGUCCACUGUAGCCGGCGGAGGGAGAACAUAUAGAUUCAACGCGAAUUGGCUCAAAAUGUCACCGCGAAUUGGCUCAAAAUGUCACCAUGGCUAGAGUUAGAAAACAAUGUAAUGUUCUGCAAAUAUUGUAGAAGGUUGAAACAGGCGGGCAACCCGUCCUUCGGGUCAGGAAAAAGAGCUAUAGCGCAGCGAAACAUAACAUCUGUCUGCGGCAUAUCCAGUGCAGAGAUCUGAACAUGUUGAGACAGGAGACAUCAUAAAGCACGGUGUCAAGCAGCCUUGAGGAGGCAAGUGUUUCUGUCUGAGGAGGAGACAGCUGAAAAUAAGAUAAACAUAACAUACUAAAUUGCGAAAGAACCUUUAGUCAAAUUUGGUCGGACAACAGACUUCGGAACACUCCAUGCCAUUGGUGUUUUGGAUGCCACCAAGGCCGCAUUUCGUGCUGUUUGCCCAGAGGAAGAUGGAGGGUCAUGGAUGAAGAAGUGGGUCUCCUUCGGGGCAGAUGGUGCCACCGUGGGGGAGUGAUUGACCACCUGCAGAGAGGGGCAGGGGGGCAUAUAAUCCCAAUCCACUGUAUGCCACAUGUAUUUGUAACUAAUAAAUUAUCUGAUUUAGUUUUAUUUGCUAGCAUAUAAUGUUAAACAAUACUGUGUGUGUCUGUGUGUGCUCUGGAAUGGUAAGUACCUCAGAAUUAUUGUUUUCUGUUGGCACAAGAGAUGGGGGGGAUGAAUUGUUUGGAAGAUUCAGUUCUGACUUUCACAGGCUAGAGCUGGCAAUAAUGACCAUUCAGAAGAAAGAGCCAAAUGUGUCUGUAUGAUCUUCUGAAUCUGAUAUGUAUCACUUCAGAAGAUGUAUCACUUCAGCGGAAAAUCCAAACGAGAGCUCUAUGUUCUCGGGCAAGAGCUCAGUGUAGAUAUUUGCACACCGUCUAGUGUCAAGGGAACUCGCUGGAUCCCCCAUGUCCACAGAGCCCUCAGUGUUCCUGCGGCAUGGACAAGACAAGGACCUCUAGUGUCAAGGGAACUCGCUGGAUCCCCCAUGUCCACAGAGCCCUCAGUGUUCCUGCGGCAUGGACAAGACAAGGACCUCUAGUGUCAAGGGAACUCGCUGGAUCCCCCAUGUCCACAGAGCCCUCAGUGUUCCUGAGGCAUGGACAAGACAAGGACCUCUAGUGUCAAGGGAACUCGCUGGAUCCCCUAUGUCCACAGAGCCCUCAGUGUUCCUGAGGCAUGGACAAGACAAGGACCUUACCGCUGACGAAGGCCAGUACUCCGUUGUUCUGCAACACAUCAACAACAGCAGAUGUUCUUGGGCAGGCAAAGAAGGGUAUAACACUGAAGGGGAAUCUGAAAGGCUUCACAGACCUCACCAAUCCCUAGCUGAAGCAGCACAUGGAGGCGGCCAUCAACAUUGGCGUGGAUGAUCUCAAAGCCAGGUUUGGUGGUUUUCUGAAGAAUGAGGGUGUCCAGACCCCAGUGGAGUCUUUCAGAGUGCUAAACCCUGACACAUGGCCAGAAGACCAGGCCAGCCUUCUCACCUUUGGCGAUGAUGGUGGGCAGACCUGAUGAGGCAUUUCAAGGAGAUGAGAAUUUAUUUGACACUGCAUUGCCAUAUGAGACAAUGUUAUAUUUGCAUAUUUGUAAACUCACUUGGCUGCAAUCCAGGAUGAGUGGCAGGGGCUGAAAAUCCUGGUCAGCCACAAUUUCAAGGACAAGUCGUAGUGGCAUGUGGGAGACCAUGUUGACAAAGGACCCCUACAGGCACGAUUACAAGGUAGACUAACAGCCCAGAGUGGUUAUGUAUGGUAUCCUUUUAUGGUUGGUUUUGAUAAGUUAAUGGUAAGAUUUAAAUGAAAGAUAUCAUCUUUUCCCUACAACAUACUGGAGUUGGUGCAGCUUAUGCUGGUGCUGCCCAUUUCAGCCGCCCGGUGUGAGUGAGGCUUCUCUGCACAGAACCGGAUUAAGAUUGACAAGAAGCUGCCUUGGGGUCUCUACCACCGAAGACCUGAUAAGGAUCAGCCUGUGGGGCUUCUGUCGAGGUGUUGGAUCCCACUCCUGAUGUGGACUGCUGGCUGACCUCUAAGCGUGCCAGACGGCCAACAUACAAAAGCAGCUGGACAACUGAUAUCCUUUGCGUCUAGUAGCCAUGAGGAGUCAAUGUGUGAUUGGUGGUAUGUGUCCCUUAGUACACGCACGCAGUAUAAAUAUGUAUGUAGUAAAUUGUUUGUUA